Molecule: small RNA, 83 nt
Filed under: Sinorhizobium meliloti 2011
Lineage: Bacteria; Pseudomonadati; Pseudomonadota; Alphaproteobacteria; Hyphomicrobiales; Rhizobiaceae
Description: putative ncRNA
Source: RNAcentral
AGCCCACGAACGGCCGCGAAAAGCUGCCGAGGCUGAACAUGUCGACUUCCUGGAAGCUCAUCACGACAUUGUAGACAAGCGGC